GAGGGUAUAGCUCAGUGAGAGCACAUGUUUAGCAUGCACAAGGUCUUGGGUUCAAUCCCCUGUACCUCCA
Transfer RNA from Camelus ferus (Wild Bactrian camel), 70 nucleotides. It matches the Rfam family "tRNA". Rfam says of the family: Transfer RNA (tRNA) molecules are approximately 80 nucleotides in length. Their secondary structure includes four short double-helical elements and three loops (D, anti-codon, and T loops). The record is from Rfam. Lineage: Eukaryota; Metazoa; Chordata; Mammalia; Artiodactyla; Camelidae.